AGAGUUUGAUCCUGGCUCAGAUUGAACGCUGGCGGAAUGCUUUACACAUGCAAGUCGAACGGCAGCACGGACUUCGGUCUGGUGGCGAGUGGCGAACGGGUGAGUAAUAUAUCGGAACGUAUCCAAUAAUGGGGGAUAACUAAUCGAAAGGUUGGCUAAUACCGCAUACGCCCUACGGGGGAAAGCAGGGGAUCUUCGGACCUUGCGUUAAUGGAGCGGCUGAUAUCUGAUUAGCUAGUUGGUGAGGUAAAGGCUCACCAAGGCGACGAUCAGUAGCUGGUCUGAGAGGACGACCAGCCACACUGGAACUGAGACACGGUCCAGACUCCUACGGGAGGCAGCAGUGGGGAAUUUUGGACAAUGGGCGCAAGCCUGAUCCAGCCAUUCCGCGUGAGUGAAGAAGGCCUUCGGGUUGUAAAGCUCUUUCGCAAGGGAAGAAAACUUACUUUUUAAUAAAGAGUGAGGUUGACGGUACCUUGAUAAGAAGCACCGGCUAACUACGUGCCAGCAGCCGCGGUAAUACGUAGGGUGCGAGCGUUAAUCGGAAUUACUGGGCGUAAAGCGUGCGCAGGCGGUUUUGUAAGUCAGAUGUGAAAUCCCCGAGCUCAACUUGGGAACUGCGUUUGAAACUACAAGACUAGAAUAUGUCAGAGGGGGGUAGAAUUCCACGUGUAGCAGUGAAAUGCGUAGAGAUGUGGAGGAAUACCAAUGGCGAAGGCAGCCCCCUGGGAUAAUAUUGACGCUCAUGCACGAAAGCGUGGGGAGCAAACAGGAUUAGAUACCCUGGUAGUCCACGCCCUAAACGAUGUCUACUAGUUGUUGGUGGAGUAAAAUCCAUGAGUAACGCAGCUAACGCGUGAAGUAGACCGCCUGGGGAGUACGGUCGCAAGAUUAAAACUCAAUGAAUUGACGGGGCCC
This 918-nucleotide ribosomal RNA is filed under the name uncultured bacterium. Its description in RNAcentral is "bacterial SSU rRNA". It matches the Rfam family "Bacterial small subunit ribosomal RNA", at positions 8 to 921 of the family's 1533-position model. The record is from RNAcentral.